This 161-nucleotide ribosomal RNA is filed under the name Tricholoma portentosum. Its description in RNAcentral is "5.8S ribosomal RNA". It matches the Rfam family "5.8S ribosomal RNA". From Rfam's summary of the family: 5.8S ribosomal RNA (5.8S rRNA) is a component of the large subunit of the eukaryotic ribosome. It is transcribed by RNA polymerase I as part of the 45S precursor that also contains 18S and 28S rRNA. The record is from RNAcentral. Lineage: Eukaryota; Fungi; Basidiomycota; Agaricomycetes; Agaricales; Tricholomataceae.
AAACAAAACUUGUUUUAAUGGAUCUCUUGGUUCUGGCAUCGAUGAAGAACGCAGCGAAAUGCGAUAAGUAAUGUGAAUUGCAGAAUUCAGUGAAUCAUCGAAUCUUUGAACGCACAUUGCACCCGGUGGUAUUCCGCCGGGUAUGCCUGUUCGAGCGUCUG